Molecule: ribosomal RNA, 497 nt
Filed under: uncultured bacterium
Lineage: Bacteria
Description: partial 16S ribosomal RNA
Rfam family: Bacterial small subunit ribosomal RNA
Source: RNAcentral
GACGAACGCUGGCGGCGUGCCUAAUACAUGCAAGUUGAGCGAUGAAGAUUGGUGCUUGCACCAAUUUGAAGAGCAGCGAACGGGUGAGUAACGCGUGGGGAAUCUGCCUUUGAGCGGGGGACAACAUUUGGAAACGAAUGCUAAUACCGCAUAACAACUUUAAACAUAAGUUUUAAGUUUGAAAGAUGCAAUUGCAUCACUCAAAGAUGAUCCCGCGUUGUAUUAGCUAGUUGGUGAGGUAAAGGCUCACCAAGGCGAUGAUACAUAGCCGACCUGAGAGGGUGAUCGGCCACAUUGGGACUGAGACACGGCCCAAACUCCUACGGGAGGCAGCAGUAGGGAAUCUUCGGCAAUGGACGAAAGUCUGACCGAGCAACACCGCGUGAGUGAAGAAGGUUUUCGGAUCGUAAAACUCUGUUGGUAGAGAAGAACGUUGGUGAGAGUGGAAAGCUCAUCAAGUGACGGUAACUACCCAGAAAGGGACGGCUAACUACGUG